Lathyrus oleraceus (garden pea) is the source of this 1697-nucleotide long non-coding RNA. RefSeq lists it as uncharacterized. Lineage: Eukaryota; Viridiplantae; Streptophyta; Magnoliopsida; Fabales; Fabaceae. The transcript is spliced from 5 exons. The record is from RefSeq and is a predicted model, not a curated record.
AGGAGUCGUGAACCUUAUGAUCCAAAAUAGCUAAUGAAUCUUCUUUACCAUCGGAUCACAAGCUUCUUCGUUUUUAUCUAUGUAUUGAUAUUUAUAAUAUAAGAAAAAUAAAUAUUGUAGAAAAUUCUAAUGAUGUCAGAUUGUUCAAUUCCAACUUCUUCUUCUCAUUUUCUCCAAAAACACAAGUUCACUUUCUCUCUCUUCCUCUUCUUCUAGUUUCUCUCUUCUGAUGCCUCUCUUUUCGUCUUAUUCUUUCUUCUCUCGAAUGUUGCCUCUCUCUUCUUGUUCUUCGUUCUCUAUUUUGCUAUCUCUCUCUUUCUCUUCUUCUUGCUUCUCUCUUACUUUUCUUUAACAAAGACUAUAGGAUUCUGGUAGAAUUUAUAGAGAUCUAUUAAUCAAAAUAUUUCAAGAUAUAUAUUUGGUUAUGAAAGUAAUUGGAUUUACAGAGAUCUUCCUUUUACUUUUGUGUUUAACUCUUGGUCGCAAGAUAAAUUAUGCAUCUACAUUUUCAAGCUUCGUAAGUGAAUCUUUGAAAAAAUGUGAGAUUAAUUUUAAAGAAGUAUUCUGAAUGGUGAUAUGUUACAGAAUCAGCUAAUCUCCGGGAAAUGUGUUUGUGUUCAUCUUCUCUUUUUUCAACUAAGUUUGUUUUGUGUUUGAUUAGAUUUUUGACAUUACUUAUAUAUUUUAAUGCUUCGUCUUCUGUUUUUGAGCUUUUCAGUCUAAUUGAUUAUGGCAUGAUUGAUUUCAUUUUGGUUUCAUUUAAAAUAUUUUAUAUGUCAUUACAUUAUAUAGGAAUUAAGCCCAUUGAAUUUGUUGGCUAUUAUUUCAGAAUCAAUUAGGUUAUUCAAAAGGUUUUCAAAUAAUGUUUGAGUUUAUGCCAAUGGUUUAUUAGGACAUAAUGUUUUAUAACAGAAAAAAUUUACUAAAGGUUGGUGUUGAUCUUCUUGUGAUAGUAUCUAUGAAUCGCAUUAUCUCAUUUGGCGAACCUGAUCAUCCGAUUGUUGGAAGUUAGAGUGGAACAUUAGGAUAUGUAAUGUGUGGGGAUGAAGAUAGAAAACUGAUGAGCCAAUUGUUAGAGCGGCUAAAUGUUUCGGGUACAGUGAGUCAGAUUAUUGACAACUACUUUUGAAAGUCUAUUAUUUAGCUAAUGCAAGGACAAGCAAUGAAGAAGAUGAACAAUCUUCUUGAGCUCUAUUACGAAAUAUAAUUAUAUGUUGAAAAGUUCAAGAAUAAAGGAUUGGGACAAAAAUUCGACAAGAAGUAUCUUUUGCUAACAAGUUCAAGAAUAAAGGAUUGGGACAAAAAUAUGGUAUAUCAACUACAAUUUUGUCACUAGCAAUUGGCAUCUGAGAGGCAUUUAAAGAUGCAAUAUUUGGCUCCUUCCGAAGGCAAGGUCAUUUUUAAAGGCGCAAAAGACCUGGAAAUUUCCACAUUUAAAUUUUGAUUAAAUAAGACUUUAUAAAAUAUUUGUCAAGGUUAAAUUAUAGUUAAAUAGAAUUUUUAUUUAUUUCGACAUGAUUAUACUACGAUUAAUCUACACAAGGUCUUUAAGAACUUGAGACGGCUCUAUUGUUGGCUUUAACGUUGCUUUGAGAUUGAUCAGCCAUAUGCUGAAGUUUAUUUGAAUUACCGUCAUAUGUUGGAAUGAGAUUAACAUGUACAAUAUCAUUAGUUUUUAUAUAUAUUUUGUUAUGCAA